Molecule: long non-coding RNA, 786 nt
Filed under: Rattus norvegicus (Norway rat)
Lineage: Eukaryota; Metazoa; Chordata; Mammalia; Rodentia; Muridae
Description: long non-coding RNA NONRATT004151
Source: RNAcentral
GACUGGCUGGCUGUGUGCACCACCAGCUGGGCGGCACCGGACGGGUCAGUCUGAUAAGAAUUCUACCAGGCACGGUCUUGAAGCCAUCUCUAGAACACAUAGCUUCGUCGUUUACGGGUUGGGGGAAGGCAAAGAUAGCAUUAAAAAAAAAAAAAAACUGAGUUGGAAAGAGGACCCUAAAACAGCCCUGGCCAUCAAUCCGAAAUCCGAGUGGGUGGGCUGGAAUGAGAGAGGGAGGAGAGUGUGGGAGGCCCGGGGUGUGUGUGGUGGGGGGCAGGUGGGAGGAACCCAAACGAGCAAAGGAGGCGAAACAAAACGCUGGCGAGAAGGGCCUGAAAAUGGAGACGCCGAGGCGUGGGAGAGAUGGCGAGAGGGAUGCAGGUCGGUGGGAAGGAAGGACAACAAAUCUGGAAAAGAGGGGCGAUGCAUGGUCCAGGGGGCGCGGGCAGGGACUAGCACAGGAGAGGGCAGGAUGCUGGCCUGCGGCGCAGGGCGGGGCAGGUGAAGGGCAGGUGCGUGGUGGGCCGGGCCGGGCCUCUCUCACCGCCACUUGGUCCUCCGAUUUUGGAACCAGGUCUUGACCUGCGCGUCCGUCAUUUUGAGGGACUUUGCGAGCGCCGCCCUCUCGGCCGAGGCCAGGUACUUUUGGCGAUGGAAGCGCUUUUCCAGCUCACAGAUCUGCACCCGGGAAAAGGAUGUGCGCGGCUUCUUACGCUUGGGCGGCGUCCGGUUCUGGUAGGGGUGGCCAAUGCGCCGGGUCACGGUGAAGGGCGUGAGCGCGGCCGC